GGACGAACGCUGGCGGCGUGCCUAACACAUGCAAGUCGAACGGGGAUUUGUUUCGGCAGAAUCCUAGUGGCGAACGGGUGAGUAACGCGUAGGCAACCUGCCCUCCGGCCGGGGACAACACUCCGAAAGGGGUGCUAAUACCGGAUACGAAGUCUGUGCCGCAUGGUACGGAUUUGAAAGAUGGCCUCUAUUUAUAAGCUAUCGCCGGGGGAUGGGCCUGCGUCCGAUUAGCUGGUUGGUGGGUAACGGCCUACCAAGGCGACGAUCGGUAGCCGGUCUGAGAGGAUGAACGGCCACAUUGGGACUGAGACACGGCCCAGACUCCUACGGGAGGCAGCAGUGGGGAAUCUUCCGCAAUGGGCGCAAGCCUGACGGAGCAACGCCGCGUUGAGUGAGGAAGUUCUUCGGAACGUAAAGCUCUGUUGUUCCUGACGAACCUCCCCUUUAUCAACAACGGAGGGGACUGACGGUAGGGAACGAGGAAGCCACGGCUAACUACGUGCCAGCCGCAGC
This 513-nucleotide ribosomal RNA is filed under the name uncultured bacterium. Its description in RNAcentral is "bacterial SSU rRNA". It matches the Rfam family "Bacterial small subunit ribosomal RNA", at positions 27 to 518 of the family's 1533-position model. The record is from RNAcentral.